UACGAAGGGGGCUAGCGUUGUUCGGAAUUACUGGGCGUAAAGGGCUCGUAGGUGGCCAACUAAGUCAGACGUGAAAUCCCUCGGCUUAACCGAGGAACUGCGUCUGAUACUGGAUGGCUUGAGUUUGGGAGAGGGAUGCGGAAUUCCAGGUGUAGCGGUGAAAUGCGUAGAUAUCUGGAGGAACACCGGUGGCGAAGGCGGCAUCCUGGACCAAUACUGACGCUGAACAGCGAAAGCCAGGGGAGCAAACGGG
Molecule: ribosomal RNA, 253 nt
Filed under: uncultured bacterium
Lineage: Bacteria
Description: partial 16S ribosomal RNA
Rfam family: Bacterial small subunit ribosomal RNA
Source: RNAcentral